This 107-nucleotide small nuclear RNA is filed under the name Propithecus coquereli (Coquerel's sifaka). The record is from RNAcentral. Lineage: Eukaryota; Metazoa; Chordata; Mammalia; Primates; Indriidae.
GUGCUUGCUUUGGUAGCACAUAUAUUAAAAUUGGAAUGAUACAGAGAAGAUUAGCAUGGCCCCUGCACAAGGAUGACAUGCAAAUUCAUGAAACACUCCAUAUUUUU